GACGAACGCUGGCGGCGUGCUUAACACAUGCAAGUCGAACGGAAAGGCCCCUUUGGGGGUACUCGAGUGGCGAACGGGUGAGUAACACGUGAGUAACCUGCCCUUGACUUCGGGAUAACUUCAGGAAACUGGGGCUAAUACCGGAUAGGAAUCCUUGCUGCAUGGUGGGGGUUGGAAAGCUUCGGCGGUUUUGUAUGGACUCGCGGCUUAUCAGCUUGUUGGUGGGGUAGUGGCUUACCAAGGCUUUGACGGGUAGCCGGCCUGAGAGGGCGACCGGCCACAUUGGGACUGAGAUACGGCCCAGACUCCUACGGGAGGCAGCAGUGGGGAAUAUUGCACAAUGGGCGGAAGCCUGAUGCAGCAACGCCGCGUGCGGGAUGACGGCCUUCGGGUUGUAAACCGCUUUCAGCAGGGGCGAAGCUUGUGGUGACGGUACCUGCAGAAGAAGCACCGGCUAACUACGUG
This 465-nucleotide ribosomal RNA is filed under the name uncultured bacterium. RNAcentral describes it as "partial 16S ribosomal RNA". It matches the Rfam family "Bacterial small subunit ribosomal RNA", at positions 28 to 507 of the family's 1533-position model. The record is from RNAcentral.